UGGAGAGUUUGAUCCUGGCUCAGAUUGAACGCUGGCGGCAGGCCUAACACAUGCAAGUCGAACGGUAACAGGAAGCAGCUUGCUGCUUYGCUGACGAGUGGCGGACGGGUGAGUAAUGUCUGGGAAACUGCCUGAUGGAGGGGGAUAACUACUGGAAACGGUAGCUAAUACCGCAUAACGUCGCAAGACCAAAGAGGGGGACCUUCGGGCCUCUUGCCAUCGGAUGUGCCCAGAUGGGAUUAGCUAGUAGGUGGGGUAACGGCUCACCUAGGCGACGAUCCCUAGCUGGUCUGAGAGGAUGACCAGCCACACUGGAACUGAGACACGGUCCAGACUCCUACGGGAGGCAGCAGUGGGGAAUAUUGCACAAUGGGCGCAAGCCUGAUGCAGCCAUGCCGCGUGUAUGAAGAAGGCCUUCGGGUUGUAAAGUACUUUCAGCGGGGAGGAAGGUGWURAGGUUAAUAACCUCAKCRAUUGACGUUACCCGCAGAAGAAGCACCGGCUAACUCCGUGCCAGCAGCCGCGGUA
RNAcentral lists this ribosomal RNA (528 nucleotides) under Enterobacter hormaechei. RNAcentral describes it as "bacterial SSU rRNA". It matches the Rfam family "Bacterial small subunit ribosomal RNA", at positions 1 to 522 of the family's 1533-position model. The record is from RNAcentral. Lineage: Bacteria; Pseudomonadati; Pseudomonadota; Gammaproteobacteria; Enterobacterales; Enterobacteriaceae.